Molecule: ribosomal RNA, 465 nt
Filed under: uncultured bacterium
Lineage: Bacteria
Description: partial 16S ribosomal RNA
Rfam family: Bacterial small subunit ribosomal RNA
Source: RNAcentral
GACGAACGCUGGCGGCGUGCUUAACACAUGCAAGUCGUACGGUAAGGCCCUUUCGGGGGUACACGAGUGGCGAACGGGUGAGUAACACGUGAGUAACCUGCCCACAACUUUGGGAUAACGCUAGGAAACUGGUGCUAAUACUGGAUAUGUUCUCCUGCUGCAUGGUGGGGGUUGGAAAGCUCCGGCGGUUGUGGAUGGACUCGCGGCCUAUCAGCUUGUUGGUGGGGUAGUGGCCUACCAAGGCGGCGACGGGUAGCCGGCCUGAGAGGGUGACCGGCCAAAUUGGGACUGAGAUACGGCCCAGACUCCUACGGGAGGCAGCAGUGGGGAAUAUUGCACAAUGGGCGCAAGCCUGAUGCAGCAACGCCGCGUGCGGGAUGACGGCCUUCGGGUUGUAAACCGCUUUCAGCAGGGACGAAGCUUUUUGUGACGGUACCUGCAGAAGAAGCACCGGCUAACUACGUG